RNAcentral lists this transfer RNA (57 nucleotides) under Muntiacus reevesi (Reeves' muntjac). It matches the Rfam family "tRNA", at positions 8 to 63 of the family's 71-position model. Rfam says of the family: Transfer RNA (tRNA) molecules are approximately 80 nucleotides in length. Their secondary structure includes four short double-helical elements and three loops (D, anti-codon, and T loops). Further hydrogen bonds mediate the characteristic L-shaped molecular structure. tRNAs have two regions of fundamental functional importance: the anti-codon, which is responsible for specific mRNA codon recognition, and the 3' end, to which the tRNAs corresponding amino acid is attached (by aminoacyl-tRNA synthetases). tRNAs cope with the degeneracy of the genetic code in two manners: having more than one tRNA (with a specific anti-codon) for a particular amino acid; and 'wobble' base-pairing, i.e. permitting non-standard base-pairing at the 3rd anti-codon position. Lineage: Eukaryota; Metazoa; Chordata; Mammalia; Artiodactyla; Cervidae. RNAcentral also lists the same sequence under 3 other names. The record is from Rfam by way of RNAcentral.
UGGCUCAGAUGGUAAAGCAUCUGCCUGCAAUGCGGGAGACCCAGGUUCAAUUCCUGG